GGCUGGUCCAAGGUAGUAGUUGUCUCUACUGUUCAGUCAGUUACAGAUUGAACACCUUCUACUCUUUACCCCCUUCUCACUACUGCACUUGACUAGUCUAAA
This 102-nucleotide Y RNA is filed under the name Carlito syrichta (Philippine tarsier). RNAcentral's name for it is "Y RNA (ENSTSYG00000020515.2)". It matches the Rfam family "Y RNA". From Rfam's summary of the family: Y RNAs are components of the Ro ribonucleoprotein particle (Ro RNP), in association with Ro60 and La proteins. Lineage: Eukaryota; Metazoa; Chordata; Mammalia; Primates; Tarsiidae. The record is from Rfam by way of RNAcentral.